RNAcentral lists this ribosomal RNA (950 nucleotides) under Crossotarsus wallacei. Its description in RNAcentral is "partial 28S large subunit ribosomal RNA". The stretch from base 608 to 950 matches the Rfam family "Eukaryotic large subunit ribosomal RNA", at positions 665 to 944 of the family's 3401-position model. The record is from RNAcentral. Lineage: Eukaryota; Metazoa; Arthropoda; Insecta; Coleoptera; Curculionidae.
CGUUUAGGGGUAAACCUAAGAAACCCGAAAGGUCGAAGGAAGAAAUUCAUUCGUGUUUCGUCAUUUGACAUAUAUAUUUAUAUGUUUGACAAUGUUUGAUUGUGGGUUGUUGUAAAAUAAAUUUUAUAAUGCCCUUAUUGAAUAUUGCGUAUAUUGUAUGUGUAUCACAAUGAUGAACGCGUGCAUUUUUCUUCUGGUAGGACGUUGCGAUCCGUUAGGAUAAGAUUAUAUAUUAUCGAUCUAUGUUUUACAGUAAAGUUCAUUAAUACAUAUAUAAUAUUUAUUUUAUAUGAUAAUAUUGAUGAUGCUGUAUGUACUGAUCGAUUUGUCUGACGGUAUAGAAAAUGGUUAAGAGUCGCUAAUAAUAUUUAGCGUUAGAGGUUAAACAAGUGUAAAUAUUGUGUAAAAUACUUUAUUAUUGUUCUACGGAAUAAUGAUAUAGGUAUAUUCGGUAAUCGAUAUUUUAUAUUAAUUCCGAGCCGUUUUUAUACUGUUAGUUUAGCAUUAAAAUCUCUAACUGACUUUAUUAUUAUAUUAGUUUAUAAUGAAGAAACCAAUCUGCAACGCUAUAGCUUUGGGUACUUUUAGGACCCGUCUUGAAACACGGACCAAGGAGUCUAGCAUAUACGCAAGCCAUUGGGAUUACUAAACCUAUAGGCUUAAUGAAAGUAAAAAUUAUUAUAUAUUUAUAUAUAGUUUAAGGAAGAUGAUUAAUAAUUUAUUAAAUAAGUUAUUAUUUCGCAUUCCUGGGGCGUUUAAAUUUUGUUUUCUUGUUCUUCAAUUAAAUGAGAUUAUGCGCACCAAGAGUGUAUACGCUGGGACCCGAAAGAUGGUGAACUAUGCCUGGUCAGGACGAAGUCAGGGGAAACCCUGAUGGAGGUCCGUAGCGAUUCUGACGUGCAAAUCGAUCGUCGGAACUGGGUAUAGGGCGAAAGACUAAUCGAACCAUC